Lethenteron reissneri (Far Eastern brook lamprey) is the source of this 590-nucleotide long non-coding RNA. RefSeq lists it as uncharacterized. The record is from RefSeq and is a predicted model, not a curated record. Lineage: Eukaryota; Metazoa; Chordata; Hyperoartia; Petromyzontiformes; Petromyzontidae.
CGGCCCCCUUGAUCUCCGCUCAUUUGGCAAAUACAAUGCAGCUCUCAUGCGCCUGUUUUAUGACAGUGCUACAAUUCCCAGGCACCUUCGAUGUGCGUGGAUGGCCGGGGAAGGGGAGAGGCGCGAGCGGUGUUGCAGUGGUUCACGCUCUCCGCUACACGAACCUUGUGACAUGGGUUUGAUUUGUGGCCACGGCUAACCUAAGCGAGCUGCCAUUGCCGAGGGACACGUGGCGAAGCGCGUUUCGUGACUACAUCAACAAACAGGCAAUGAAAGCAAACGAGGCCGUCCGCUCCGUCAGCCAGCUCCGCAAGCAUCGCGUCGGUCAUUCUCCGCGGACCGCAUUCCCCCACCCGUUCAACAACAGGGCCAGCAUUUUGCGCAUCAAACGUCGAUGUAGAGAUCUACUCCAUCUGGCUUCCAACACCCCCCCCCCACACACAUCCCUUCAACCCCACUCCUGCCCAACCGGUCCGCACCUCUCGCACGGAGCCUCCACAUCCAUCCCCGUUCGCGCCCCUGGUCGCCCAACAAAGGUUGGAACUUUGUCAAACGUUUUGUGUAUUCGACUUUCGCGCCGCCCCGAGAGC